Molecule: non-coding RNA, 341 nt
Organism: Ceratotherium simum simum (southern white rhinoceros)
Lineage: Eukaryota; Metazoa; Chordata; Mammalia; Perissodactyla; Rhinocerotidae
Source: RefSeq, a predicted model, not a curated record
GGAGAGGUCAGAGUGGUGCCCUGGGCACCAAGCUGAGAACUUGGCUUUUACCAGGAAUGAGGUGCAGCCAGGGGAGGCUCUGAGCCAGGAGGGCAUGACCUGACUCGGGUUCACAGGCUCCCUCUGGCUGUGCGUGGAGCGGACUGUAGGGGGCAGGGACGGGAGCAGGGAGACCGGGAGGAGGCUGCUGUGAUGGUCCAGGAGGCAGAGGAUGGAGGCCGGGCCAGGGCACUGGAGCAGGGGAGUUGGGUGUAAUAGAAACAAUGGAAAUAGAUUUGGGAGGUGGAGCGGGUGGGACUUGCUAACAGGCUAGAAAUGAGGGAUGAGGGAAAGAAAGACAU